GCCAUUUUGUUGUGCCAUCACAAGUGUCAAACGCGCAUAAGUGAUAAAUUGAAAAAGUUUGCAUAGUAUUGUUUUGCUGUGUCCAAUAUGUCGAAAUUGUGCCAAAUGAAGAGCAUUCGCGGACAGCAUUAAUUUUUUGUUUUCAUUUGAGGAAAACUGCUACUGAAUCAUAUCGAUUACUUCGAGAAGUUUAUGGUGAACAUGCUCCAUCGCAAGAUACGUGUGAACGAUGAUUUCAAAAGUGAUGAUUUCGAUGUUGUAGACAAGGAACACGGAAAACCGUCAAAAAGGUACGAAGAUGUAGAAUUGCAAGCAUAGUUGGACGAAGACGAUUAACAAACACAAAAACAACUCGCAGAGCAAUUAAGCGUUAGUCAACAAGCUGUUUCCAAUCGCCUACGAGAGAUGGGAAAGAUUCAGAAGGUCGGCAGAUAUCACAUGAGUUGAACGAGAGGUAGAUGGAGAGGCGCAAAGACACAUGUGAAAUUUUGCUCGAACGAUACAAAAGAAAGUCGUUCUUGCAUCGUAUCAUUACUGGAAUGAAAAGUGGAUAUAUUUUGAGAAUCCCAAGCGCAAAAAAUCAUGAGUAGACCGAGGCGUACCAUUGACCGCAAGACCGAAUCGCUUUGGCAGAAAGAUGAUGCUCUGUGGGACCAGAAGGAUGUGGUCUAUUAUGAGCUGUUAAAGCUUGCUGAAACGAUUAAUACCAAACGCUACAAACAACAAUUGAUUAAUUUGAACCGUUCGCUACUCGAAAAACAACCAGAAUAUCGAAAAAGGCAAGAUCAUUUUUCUCCAUGACAAUGCUCCAUCACAUACGGCAAAACCGGUUCGCGACACGUUGGAAGCACUCAGCUGGGAAGUGCUAGCCCAUGCGGCUUACUCAUCAGACGUGGCUCCUUCCGAUUACCACUUGUUUGCAUCGAUGGGUUACGCACUUGCUGAGCAGCGCUUUGGAAGACGAUGAGUGGAUAAAAAUUGCAAAAAACUUGGAUUGUCGGUUGUCGAAUGAAAUUGUCGCAAGUCGGCUAUCGUUGUCGAAAUAGAAGAUGGUCAAUUCCCAUAUUUUCCGACUACGACUAGAUGAAACAUAACCUUCGGACACAUUUGUGUAUGGAUAAACAGAUAUUUUUAUACGGAUAUAUGAAUAUAUUUAUAUUAUAUUAUGGAAUUACUGAAUGUAGAUAAAAUAAUUAUUGAUUUUGUUCGCAAAAAUCAUUGCUUGUAUGAUAAAUGAUGUGGAUUUUAAAAAUGUUGGCAAAAAAAGAAUCUGUGAUAAAAAAUAUUCACAAAUUUGAGAAACUAUUAUGAUAUAACAUGUCAAGUAAUUUUCUUUUGUAUCAAACUUAAGAAAUAUAAGAGCUGACACAGGAUAUGAAUUUGUGUAUAAAUUUAUUCAAGUUUAAUAACUUAAUAAUAUACGUUUCGAUCAUUGUUUUGAUCUUUUUCAAUAUUAUAAAACUAAUUAAAUCAAUGCAUAGUAGUCGUCAAGCAAGUGGAAUCGCAUUAUUCUAUUAUACAAUCAUAUAAUUUGCGUCCAAAUUAAUAAUAAAUUUGAAUAUGUAUUCAACGUUUCAAUAUUUAUUCUUUACAUUUGUUCCGACCUUCCGACUUUGAUCAACGACUUAAUUGUAGAAUAGCAAGUCGUAUUCAUGAGCGACAUACAACAUACGACAAAUGACUAGCGACAUACAACUGAUUGUAGAACGGGCCUAAGAUGGAAAACACCCGCAAUCUUCCAUCCUAUAGAGUCUCUAGAAGAAGAAAGUCUGGACAUUCAGCGAAAAUGCCCUCAAAAUGGCGGUUAAAUAUGUGUGUAAAGGGCUCCGCAUAAUAGAAGGAAUAGGGAACAGAGAACAGAGAAUAAGAAUUUCAACCUAUCAGAAACUGUGUAUUCCAUAAUAUAUUAAAACAAUGUGAUUAAAAAGGCAUACACCACGAGCAAACUGUUAGCAGCGAAAUAUUUAUAUUUUAAUAGAUUACACUAGAAUAAAAACAAGACAAUAAUAUAGACGUUUCGGCUUUAUAUCAGGCCAUCUUUAGUAUUACAAAAUUAAUAUGUUAUGACUUACAUAAUGUUGAG
This 2083-nucleotide long non-coding RNA is filed under the name Acromyrmex echinatior (Panamanian leafcutter ant). RNAcentral describes it as "uncharacterized LOC105143782". Lineage: Eukaryota; Metazoa; Arthropoda; Insecta; Hymenoptera; Formicidae. The record is from RNAcentral.